GUAGUUCAGUUGGCAGAGCAGGUGGCCGUUAACCACCGUGUCGCAGGUUCGAGUCCUGCC
This 60-nucleotide transfer RNA is filed under the name Krasilnikoviella flava. RNAcentral's name for it is "Promicromonospora flava tRNA". It matches the Rfam family "tRNA", at positions 7 to 64 of the family's 71-position model. Rfam says of the family: Transfer RNA (tRNA) molecules are approximately 80 nucleotides in length. Their secondary structure includes four short double-helical elements and three loops (D, anti-codon, and T loops). Further hydrogen bonds mediate the characteristic L-shaped molecular structure. tRNAs have two regions of fundamental functional importance: the anti-codon, which is responsible for specific mRNA codon recognition, and the 3' end, to which the tRNAs corresponding amino acid is attached (by aminoacyl-tRNA synthetases). tRNAs cope with the degeneracy of the genetic code in two manners: having more than one tRNA (with a specific anti-codon) for a particular amino acid; and 'wobble' base-pairing, i.e. permitting non-standard base-pairing at the 3rd anti-codon position. Lineage: Bacteria; Bacillati; Actinomycetota; Actinomycetes; Micrococcales; Promicromonosporaceae. The record is from Rfam by way of RNAcentral.